This 688-nucleotide long non-coding RNA is filed under the name Homo sapiens (human). RNAcentral describes it as "non-protein coding lnc-ANKRD50-4:2". Lineage: Eukaryota; Metazoa; Chordata; Mammalia; Primates; Hominidae. The record is from RNAcentral.
GCAAGCUUUCCUGUCACUAAGCCGUGAUGUUGUAAAGAGUUCUGAAGUCAACUUUGAGAUCCUAGCCUGGGGCAGAGAAAGACAGUUUCUACAUGGUAACAGCAACAGCAACUGGCCAGUUCUGUCUCCACAUGGUCAGCCUGAGAAACAUACUAUAAAGCUCCACUACCGAAGAGGAAGUGGAUCGUACCUAAGUGAUGGUGGGGUCAUCCACUCAGCUUCUUGCCCAAGAUCUCCAUGGCGUAUCAUCUCACAUAGUGUCCUGCAUCUGGCGGAGUCUUGAGAAUAAGGCUGGAUGAUGGUGAUAACGAGAAUGAAUGAAGAUGGUGAAAUCUGGAAUGGUCUAGUUGUCAAUAUUUUAAUGUAGCCAACAUAGGUAAUUUGCACUUUUGAAGUGGCCUCCGAUGCGAAGGUGAGAUCAGAAAUACGCCUGUGGAACCCUCUACAUGCGGAUCUGGCAAGCAUUCAACACAAACGCAAUUAGAGGGCUUACCCUUGCAUGAAAUAUUUGCUUUCCUGAUAGUCACUAACUUUAAACUUUAGGAAUGCCAGGGCAUAGUGUUUCUGUAUCAGAACUAGAAUCCUCUACUUCACUUUCUUCAGCUAUUAUUUUUGAAGUUUGCAUAUCGUAUUAAAGUCCCACCAAACAAUAAAUAGGAAAGCAUGAUUUUAUUAAAAUCCUCUUGAG